UACGUAGGGGGCAAGCGUUGUCCGGAAUCAUUGGGCGUAAAGAGCGUGUAGGCGGUUCGAUAAGUCUGCUGUGAAAGUCCAGGGCUCAACCCUGGAAAGCCGGUGGAUACUGUCGGACUAGAGUGCGGAAGAGGCGAGUGGAAUUCCCGGUGUAGCGGUGAAAUGCGCAGAUAUCGGGAGGAACACCUAUUGCGAAGGCAGCUCGCUGGGACGUUACUGACGCUGAGACGCGAAAGCGUGGGGAGCGAACAGG
RNAcentral lists this ribosomal RNA (253 nucleotides) under uncultured bacterium. Its description in RNAcentral is "partial 16S ribosomal RNA". It matches the Rfam family "Bacterial small subunit ribosomal RNA", at positions 524 to 776 of the family's 1533-position model. The record is from RNAcentral.